ACACGUGCUACAAUGGCGCAUACAAAGAGAAGCGAACCUCGCGAGAGCAAGCGGACCUCAUAAAGUGCGUCGUAGUCCGGAUUGGAGUCUGCAACUCGACUCCAUGAAGUCGGAAUCGCUAGUAAUCGUGGAUCAGAAUGCCACGGUGAAUACGUUCCCGGGCCUU
This 166-nucleotide ribosomal RNA is filed under the name uncultured Enterobacteriaceae bacterium. RNAcentral's name for it is "partial 16S ribosomal RNA". It matches the Rfam family "Bacterial small subunit ribosomal RNA", at positions 1218 to 1382 of the family's 1533-position model. The record is from RNAcentral. Lineage: Bacteria; Pseudomonadati; Pseudomonadota; Gammaproteobacteria; Enterobacterales; Enterobacteriaceae.